RNAcentral lists this transfer RNA (95 nucleotides) under Pseudomonadota bacterium. RNAcentral describes it as "tRNA-Ser". It matches the Rfam family "tRNA". From Rfam's summary of the family: Transfer RNA (tRNA) molecules are approximately 80 nucleotides in length. Their secondary structure includes four short double-helical elements and three loops (D, anti-codon, and T loops). Further hydrogen bonds mediate the characteristic L-shaped molecular structure. tRNAs have two regions of fundamental functional importance: the anti-codon, which is responsible for specific mRNA codon recognition, and the 3' end, to which the tRNAs corresponding amino acid is attached (by aminoacyl-tRNA synthetases). tRNAs cope with the degeneracy of the genetic code in two manners: having more than one tRNA (with a specific anti-codon) for a particular amino acid; and 'wobble' base-pairing, i.e. permitting non-standard base-pairing at the 3rd anti-codon position. RNAcentral also lists the same sequence under 3 other names. Lineage: Bacteria; Pseudomonadati; Pseudomonadota. The record is from RNAcentral.
GGUGAGGUGCGUGAGCCUGGCUGAAACGGACGGUUUGCUAAACCGUUGUAGGGCGAUAAGCUCUACCGUGGGUUCGAAUCCCACCCUCACCGCCA